CUAUUGUCAUACAUAUAUACAUACAUACUAUUGUCAUAAAUACGUACAUACAUACAUACAUAAGCCUGAGUCUGACCUAUUUAAAUAAAUAGAAUUUAAAAAUGGCCUAAGCCUAGCGUUUUUAUUAAAUUGACCAGGCCAUGCCAUAAGUAGGCGAUGUCAUAGGUCCUUGACGGACGGCCUAGCCUAUUCUCAUCCCUAUUUGCCACAUUAAAACUUUAUUUCAAUAUCAUUUAUUUAUUAUUUAAGGUAUUAAAAAAAUAAAGAAUUAAAUUGUAAGUACGAAUAUAAUAAUAAUAAUACAUACAUACAUACAUACAUACAUACAUACAUACAUACAUACAUACAUACAUACAUACAUACAUACAUACAUACAUACAUACAUUUGUCAUACAUACAUACUAUUCUCAACAGGGAAAUGGAUAGAGUUUGAUGAUGACAAUCCAAGACCUAGAGUACAAAACGAUAUUACUAGACUAUCUGGAGGAGGUGAGAAUGAAUAAAUAUACUACUCAAUGUUGUAUAUGAUGAUGAUAUGCUUAAAAAUGUUGAAUCAUGUUUUUUGUGUUUAGGUGAUUCGCAUAUGGCAUAUAUAAUCAUGUACAAGGCUCGUGAUGUCUGAUCUCUUCUAAUGGGUUACCUUUGAUUAGUUAAAGGAUUCAUUAUAAAAAGAAUGAAUAGAAUAGUCAACAGGUGGGUCAUUGUUUUUAUUUUACACCUUAGAUGAAUGCUGGUUAGUUAGAUACUCUUAUUUGUUUAAUGUAGAAAAAGCAAGAUACGUUAAAUUGCACCAAACUCAAUCAUAGACAUGCUAGAAUUGGUACUUGAAGACAGUACAUAUGAUGAGUUCAUGUAAAAAUGCACUAUAUUCCUAACGUAGAUACAAUAGAUCUACAAGAAUAUAUUGAAUGCAAUACACCUUCAAUGAAACUAACAGCAAGACCAAACUUAGUGAUACCGUGAAUCAACCAUCCUUUGUCAAAUCAAAAAUAGGAACAACUUGGAUGUUUAUUUUGCCAUGGCCGAACCAAAAGCUUGAUCAGCUGUGGUCAUCUACACCCACGCUAUAGCAAGCUAGCACUGCAUUGCUACCUCCCACAAUUCUUCUAAAUUUGUUAUCUUGAUUAAAACCUUACUCUUAGCAAAUUCCAAGAAUACAAUUUUACAAAUUCUACUAUCUCUUCUAUUGAUGAUUCUUUAUUUUAUUUUUUAUCAUGUGCUUUCGAAAAUUAUCCAUAUGCAUNNNNNNNNNNNNNNNUUGGCAACCAUCACUAAAAGUUUUGAAGACGUUCUAUAGUGACAUUUGGAAGUAUUACUCAUUACGUCUAGCCACUCUGCCAUCUCACACCACACUCUAGAGAAGAAUUGACAUUUGAAAAACAAAUAGUUUGCCAUUUUAAUUCUCUCAUUACGCCUCACUCCUUUGUCCUCCGUAGGAAUUUGAAAUUAUUCAAUGUCUUUCUCCCAACACACUUUAUCCCAUUUUACCUAGUAUACUUUUUUCGCUUUCUCAAUCCCUCCCUACAAAAAUUGUUUAAAUAAAGAUUUAGCUUUAAAAUUAGGUCUAAUGGAGUGUUGAAGAAGGACAAAUAGAAGACAAAGAGCCUAGAGAGAACAUAGCGCAACUUGACAAUUUAAUAUCUUAUUGAAAUAUUCUUACUCUUUCAAGACAAUAAUAUAUUUCUCACCUUCAACAAAAUUGUUUCUCAAGUCUUCUUACUUCAGGGAUUUUCCCGUAUAGGUAAACCUAAAUAAAUGAAUGGGAAUUUUCCAACUUAAUAAUUUAACAACUUUGCAAAGUCUAGUAACAAAUCUCCAAUACAUUUACACGCAUCAAACUACUUUUAUGAAAAUUGACCUUCAACUUUGAUAAUUGCUUGCACAUUUUUCCACCUUUUGCACUCCAUACAAUUGUGUGGUAUCAACAAACAGUGAGUGUAAGACAUGUUGAUUAUGAUUUCUAAAUCUAUACCCUACAUUUUUUUUUCUUUCUAAUACCACUACUUUUUCAUCAUGGCAUCUAAACCUUCAGUUGGGACGAGGAAGAGAAAAGGUGACAAAAGUCGCUCAACUCCUUUUCCAUAAUAAAGUGCUUUGUCGGACUUCCAUUGACCAACACAAAAAUUAUUAAUGUGUUCAAACAUUCCUUUAUCCAUUUCCUCAAUUAAUCACAAAAAUCCAUUAGAUUGUUCUCCCUAUCUUGUCUUGAACUUUUCCUCUCAGCCACAACGACCAAUCGCGCUUCUUGGUCUUGAUCCCUUAGACUAUGUCUGCUUCUUAUAUUUUUUAUUUUUCAGGUUCUUACUAUUUUCUUCUUCCUACUAAAUUAAUUUCUCUCUAUAAAUAGAUAAACUAUGUAAUAUGAAAUGAUAAAUCAACUGAUAUCAAACAAACUCUAGCACUCUAAUUAGCAACUCAACUACUACCUAUUACCAAACUAUAACAAACUUUUAUAUGUUAUGUUAAUAAUUGAUAUAUGAUAUGUUGUGAUACUAUUUGUUAAUUGUAAAUUUUAUAGUUAAUUUGUGAACUUUAUGAUAAAACUCUUUUAGCAUAUUAUAUUGUUUUAGUUAAUUUGUAAAUGUCUCUUUUCACAUAUUAUAUUUUUAUUUUGAAUUGAUGUUAUGUUGAAUCUUUGAUAAAACACUUUUACGAAUUUCAAUUGUAAUAUUUUAAUUAAUAUUUGUCGCUCUCCCAAUAUUUUGGACAAGAUCCGCCACUGGUUGUAUGUAACUCCAAUACACAAAAUCACAUGUUUUCUCAAAAUCAACAUUUGCCUAAGGGGAACGGUUAAUGCUUACCAAAGGGGGGUUAAAAAUAGCUGAAUUGGAGGUAAAUGUGUCUACUGUUACUCUACAAAUCUAUCUUUUAUAUUGAUUAUGAAUAAAUGGUGAGAAUGACUCUUAAUCUCUUAAUUCCUAUUUUGAUUUUUAUGCCUACUUGGAAUUCCACCCCAUCCCCUUCAAAUCUGCAUAGUAACCAAAACAAAAAAUGAAAGAAAUAGAGACAAUGAGAAAGUGCAACAAAAAAAAAAAACAUAACCUGCUCAACUUGUGACUCAAUUUAUUUUAUGAGUUUUAAGAGUUCCAUGCCAGUUCUCAUUUAUCUCAGUAUUAUUUGAAUCAUUUUCUAUAUGUCUGUCCAUACUCCAUCAAAUACUCUUCUUAUGUUGGCAUUAAUAAGAGACAAUGCCUCUCACAAUCUUUAAUCUUUCUUCCAUUAUUCUUGGAUGCUGCACUUGAAACUAUAAUAGCGGUAUAAUGUAUUUUGCAUCCUUCUGACUCAUUUUGUAGUUACAUUAUAUUACUAUAUACAUUGUAGUCAGUCUUCAUGCACUUGACAACUAUGUAGAGAUCAGAUGUUAAUACAUAGUCUGGGAAUUAGUUUGAUACUUGCAUUUUUAUUUUGAGUGCUUGAUCUUAUUUAAGUUUAAUUUUAAGUACUUAAUCCCUAAGAUUUAGAGGGUUAAAAAAAAUCUUGAAUAUGUGUGAAGAAGUAUGUUGAAAUUGAGUUUAAUAUGAUAAAAUGAUUUUUCAUCAUCUCAAUUGAAGCAAAGAGCGUCCAAUAUAUAUGAGAUAAAUUUAUUAUUGUCUCCCUUAUCUUUUAUCUUUCACCUUGUCAAAGCAUAUGAAAAAGACUUUUUACCUUUUUUACCCUCUACUAUUUGAUAGUAAACAUUUCUGAAGUUAUUAACAUUUUGAUAAUUUUAAAUUUUCGAUUUUUUUAAAGAGUUCUAGAAAAAUUGCAUUUCGAAAACUGUGUUCAUCCAAAUUCUUGAUUGUUUUUUUCUUAAUUUUUAAAAAAAUUGCAUUUUAGAAGUUUCACAUUUGUUCAAAUUUUUCAAAUUUUUCAAAUUUUAUUAAACUUUUGAAAAAAAAUACAUUUCAGAAGUUUCACAUUCAUUCAAAAUUUUGAAUUUUUUUAAAACUUUUAAAAAAAUUGCAUUUAAAAAGUUUCAUAUGUAUCAAAAGUUUCGAUCUUUUUUUAAACUUUUGAAAAAAUUACAUUUCAAACGUUUCACAUUAUUUCAAAGUUUCAAACUUCUUUUAAACUUUUAGAAAUUUUUUACUAUCAAGUAGUUUAAGGUAAAAUUAUCUUGUCAUGUGUUUUAAAGGAGUGAGUAAAUGUGAGAUGGUGGAUGAUAACUUUCUCUAUAUAUGAGGAAUUAUUAAGUGAGAGGAGUUUUCACAUGAGAUAGUGAAAUAAUUAAAUUUUAAUCAUACAAUCAUACAUAGCUGACUGUGAUAGAAAGUAUCGUAUAGUCACUUAAAAAAGUCACAUGACUUUUUGUUUUAAUUUUAACUAUUCAUGACUUGAUCAAUGACUAAGAUUUAUCCUUUUUACAUUCUCAUUUUAAAACUCAUCCCAUUUGAUAUGUUUCCUAUAUAUAUAUACUUAUAUAUUUUUCUAGGCAACAAACUUUAAAUCGCCAAAAGAUGAUAGACGUUCCUCUGAGUCUAGUUAUUGGCCUGAGGAUCAUGGAACAAUAUCACUAAAAACAAUUUAUAUAUUUUUUUGAACUUCUAAGUUUGAUGUAGUUGUUUUGUAUGUUUAGCCACUUCAAAAUAUUUUGGUUUUAUAAUGUUCAAAUUACUUUAUUUAUUCGUUUAAUUAAGUUCUAGUAUAGAGGUCGUUAGUUUUGAAUAUAUUAUAUGAAUGAGAUUUAGCCAUUUACAAUUAAAUAUUUAUAUAUCUUAAUUAUAUGAAUGAUAUUUUUAAAUAUUAUUCAAAUUAAUUUAAAAUUAAUUGUUAUUUAAUAAGUUAUUAAAAUAAAUUUAAUGAAACUUGAAAAACCAAGUCAGCAAUUGGACAAGAGAUUUUAACGGCAAUAGUGCCUAAUUCUUAGCUUCUAACGGCUGCAUUACAUAUGGAUCAUUAAUCUUUAAGUUUACUUUUUAGAUAUUCAACAAAUACAGUAUUCACUUGUACCUACUUCUAUCUAAUUACUCUAAAAGUCAAUUUCCAAGUAAAACUUACAUCAGCUUCUCCUUCUCUUAAAAUAAGGUCAUGGCAAGAACUAAAGUCAAUUUGUGCAGCCUUAGCCCCUAUAAGCUGUGAAUGUUUUUAAUCAACUUUAUCAUUUUUGGUGGCUUAAGUCCUCACAAAUUUGUGGCGGACUGUGUCACAAAUUUGUGAGGGCUUAAGCUUUCACAAAUGAUAAUAAAAAAACCAACUUUUGUGGUCGUUUUUGCCGCCACAAAAAUUUGUGAAAUUUGUGAUGUGAUGGGGUUAUUUGUGAGUGUCUUAGGCCGCUUCAAAUGUGUCUGUUGUAGUUGUUUUUCUCCCUUUGUGAGGGCUAUUGGCUGCCACAAAAUCUGAGUUUUCUUGUAGUGAUAAACCUAUUGGAAUAAGUUGAUAUUGUUGGGUUUUUGGCUCCCUUCCUAUGUGGAGAAAGGCCCAAUAUGUGCAAGCCCAUGUGUCUCACUUAACCAAGUGAAGAGAGGUCAGAUUAGUGAGAGAGAGAGAGCUGAAAUCAGAGAGUGAGGCAAAGAGAAAAGCGAGAGAGGAAGAGCAAAAUCCAUUUUCGCAUAAAAUAGAGCAGCUGCACUAGAUUCACGAUUUCUCCUUCGUUCACCGUUGGAUCGGGCUGCAAUUUGGACAGCAGGUUCGUGACUCAUGGUACUUCCAUCUAACUGGUUGGAUCGUCGAUCGGAGGUCUGAGGUGGGAGAUAUUGAGCUCGUACAGUAGCAGUAUUUCCUGGUUUUUCUGCUGAACUUUGUUCUCAAUUUCAUGUUUGUUUUCUCAUUGUUUUGGCUGAUUGUUGUGCUGGUUACCUUGCUAUUUUUUGGCUGGUUACUGAGCACGAAUUUGUACCAUAUUUGAAACUCUCAUGUACCCAUAUUGUGUCCUUUGUGGUAGUGAUUUUAGUUGCUGUGAUUAUUUGUUGUUGCUCCUCACAGAUUCUUGCAAGUUUGGGAAAUUGAUUAUCCGCUGCAUAUUGCUCUGUUAGAGUUGUUAUUGUUAUUUGUUGUUGAAUUUCCCAUCAGAGUGGCAUCAGAGCUCUUUGGUUAAGGGGCUGUUUGACUUGUUUGAAUGAUGGAGGCAAAUAAAAAUAGAAUGAUUUGUUUGAAUGACACUAAUUAUCACUUAUGGAAGGGAAAAAUGAAGGAUCUGUUAUUUGUGAAGAAUUUGCAUCUUCCUGUGUUUGCUAGUGAGAAGCCAGAAUCCAAGACUGAUGAGGAUUGGAGUUUUGAACAUCAGCAGGUUUGUGGUUUUAUUCGGCAAUAUGUAGAAGACAAUGUUUAUAAUCACAUUGCUAAUGAGGAACAUGCAAGAUCCUUGUGGAAGAAGAUUGAAUCUUUGUAUGCUUCUAAAUCAGGGAAUAAUAAGUUGUAUUUGUUGAACUCCUUGAUGAAUUUGAGGUACAAGGAGGGGACUUCUAUUUCAGAUCACUUAAAUGAUUUUCAAGGGCUCCUAGAUCAAUUGUCAGGUAUGGGUAUCAAAUUUGAUGAUGAAGUGUUGGGACUAUGGCUACUGAAUACUCUACCAGAUUCUUGGGAAAUGUUUCGGGUUUCAAUUACAAACUCAGCUUCUGAUGGUGUUGUCUCUUUGCAAAGUGUAAAGGGAAGUGUUCUUAAUGAGGAGAUGAGAAGGAAGGCACAAGGUACUUCAUCUCAUUCUGAGGUACUUGUCACUGAGAACAGGGGCCAUAGCCAAAGAAAGGAACCGAAAGGGAACAGACAGAAUAACAGAAGUGCGAGUAGAGAGAACAACAGAAGUAAGUCCAAGUCCAGAUACAAGAAUGUGGAGUGCAAUUAUUGUCACAAAAUGGGGCACAUACAGAGGAACUGUUUCAUAUGGAAAAGGGAGAGCAAAAACAAUAACAGUAAGCAGAGAGAUAAGAAUCAUGAUGAUGAUGACCGUGUUACUACUGCUACUUGUGAUGAUCUGAUUAUUCUCCGUGACUAUGACUCAGUCAAUCUUGUAUCAGAUGAGAGCAUCUGGAUUAUUUAUAGUGGUGCUACAUUGCAUGUUACACCAAAGAAGGAGUUCUUCACAUCUUACACUUCUAGUGACUUUGGAGUGUUGAACAUGGGUAAUGAUGGUGAGUCUAAGGUAGUUGGUAUUGGUGAUGUUUGUUUGCAAACCAACAUGGGAGUACAGUUGUUGCUUAGAGGAGUCAAACAUGCUCCAGAUGUUCGCUUUAAUUUGAUCUCUGUGCAGAUGCUUGAUGAUGGUGGUUAUGAUAAUCACUUUGGUUCAGGAAAAUGGAAACUCACCAGAGGUAACUUAGUUGUGGCCAGAGGGGAGAAAAUUAAUAAACUGUAUUGGACUAAAGCAUUGGUUGCUAAAGACAGUGUGAAUGCCAUGGAUAUGGAGGCUUCUUUGUGGCACCGCAGGCUUAGUCAUAUCAGUGAAAAGGGGCUGAAUUUUUUAGCUAAAAAGGAUUUACUUCCGGGAUUAAAGAGUUCAGAGUUGGAGAAAUGUUCUCAUUGCAUGGCUCGUAAGCAGACUAGAGUAUCCUUCAAGAAACAUCCUCCCUCAAGGAAGUCAGAGUUGCUUGAAUUGGUGCAUUCUGAUGUUUGUGUCCCGUUGAAGGUAAAGUCAUUUAGUGAUGCACUUUACUUUGUUACUUUUAUUGAUGAUUGUUCCAGGAAGCUUUGGGUCUAUGCUUUGAAGACAAAAGACCAAGUUCUGGAGAAAUUCAAAGAGUUCCAUGUUAUGGUGGAGAGACAGUCAGGCAAGAAGUUCAAAUGCAUUCGUACUGACAAUUGUGGUGAGUAUUGUGGACCAUUUGAUGUUUAUUGCAAGCAGCACGGUAUCAAACAUGAAAAGACUCACAUGAAAAGACUCCUCCUAAAACUCCUCAGCUGAAUGGUUUAGCAGAGAGAAUGAACAAGACAUUGAUUGAAAGAGUUAGGUGUAUGCUUUCUGAAGCAAAGUUGCCUAAGCAUUUCUGGGGUGAAGCAUUGUACACGGCAGUGCAUGUUAUUAAUCUGAGUCAUGCAGUUGCUUUGAAUGUUGAGGUGCCAGACAAGAUUUGGUUUGGCAAGAAUGUCAGGUAUGAUCAUUUGCGUGUCUUCGGUUGCAAAGCAUAUGUGCAUGUUCCAAAGGAUGAGAGAUCCAAGUUGGAUGCGAAGACAAGACAAUGCAUCUUUAUCGGUUAUGGUCAGGAUGAAUUUGGCUACAAGUUGUAUGAUCCAGUUGAGAAGAAAGCUGUUAGAAGCCGUGAUGUGAAGUUCAUGGAAGACCAAACGAUUGAAGACAUUGAUAGGAUGGAGAAGACUACACCUGAGAUUGAUAAUGGUUUGUCUGAUGUUGAUCCAGUUCGGAUGCCUAUACAUGAUCUGGAUACUGCUGAAAAUAAUGUUCAGAAUGAUGAGCAACAUGGUGAUGUUGGUGAUCAGCAGCUUGGAGAUGAUUUUGAUGUUCCUAAUGAUGAUGCUGAAGAAGAACAUGAGAUGUCACAAGAUGAGGAUCUUGGUGAUGCUCCUGAACCACCUCAAGCUCAAGUUUGGAGGUCUACUAGGCAGAGGAAACCAUCCACCAGGUAUCCUUCUGAUGACUAUGUUACCUUGACUGAUGGAGGCGAACCUGAAUGUUAUGAUGAAGCCAUGGAGAGUGAUGAAAAGAAGAAGUGGUUGGAUGCUAUGCAAGAUGAAAUGAAGUCUUUGCAUGAUAAUCACACUUUUGAUUUGGUGAAACUACCUAAGGGAAAGAAGGCUUUGGAAAACAGGUGGAUCUUCAGAGUGAAGCAAGAAAGCAAUUCUACAUCUCCAAGAUAUAAAGCCAGAUUAGUUGUGAAAGGUUUCAGACAGAGAAAGGGUGUUGAUUUCAAUGAGAUUUUUUCUCCUGUGGUGAAGAUGUCAUCCAUUAGAACUGUGUUGAGUUUGGCUGCUACUCUUGAUUUGGAGGUAGAGCAAAUGGAUGUAAAAACUGCUUUCCUUCAUGGUGAUUUGGAGGAAGAGAUUUACAUGAAGCAACCUGAUGGUUUUCUUGUUAAAGGCAAAGAAGACUAUGUGUGUAGGCUCAGAAAGAGUCUAUAUGGUUUGAAGCAGGCCCCGCGUCAGUGGUACAAGAAGUUUGAGUCAGUUAUGUGUGAGCAAGGCUACAGGAAGACUACUUCUGAUCACUGUGUCUUUGUUAAAAAGUUUGCUGAUGAUGAUUUCAUUAUCUUGUUAUUGUAUGUUGAUGACAUGCUUAUUGUUGGGAAAAAUAUUUCCAUGAUUAUCAGGUUGAAGAAGCAAUUGGGCGAGUCAUUUUCCAUGAAAGACAUGGGAGCUGCUAAGAAGAUUCUUGGUAUAAGAAUCAUGUGUGACAGGAACAAGAAGAAACUUUGGCUGUCACAAGAACACUAUGUUGAAAGAGUAUUACAGAGGUUCCAGAUGGAAAAUGCUAAGGCUGUAAGUACUCCUCUUGCUACUCAUUUUAAAUUGAGUACUAGUCAGAGUCCUCCCAAUGAAGCUGAAAAAUCAGAUAUACAACGAGUUCUUUACGUAUCUGUUGUGGGUAGUUUAAUGUAUGCAAUGGUGUGUACAAGGCCUGAUAUUGCACAUGUUGUUGGUACAGUUAGUAGAUUUCUGUCUAAUCCAGGUAGAGAGCAUUGGAAUGCUGUGAAAUGGAUUUUGAGGUAUCUUCGUGGUACUACCAGUUUGAGGCUUUGUUUUGGAGGUGAUAAGCCUACUCUUGUGGGAUAUACUGAUUCUGAUAUGGCUGGAGACAUUGAUUCCAGAAAGUCUACUUCAGGCUACUUGAUUAAGUUUGCAGGGGGAGCUGUGGCAUGGCAAUCUAGAUUGUAGAGAUGUGUUGCAUUGUCCACUACUGAGGCAGAGUUCAUUGCCAUUACAGAAGCAUGCAAGGACUUGUUAUGGUUGAAGAAAUUCUUGCAGGAGCUUGGUUUUGUUCAAGAUAAGUACUUGCUAUUUUGUGAUAGUCAAGGUGCAAUUCAUCUUGGUAAGAAUUCAUGUUGGUACUUGCCAUUUUGUGAUAGUCAAGGUGCAAUUCAUCUUGGUAAGAAUUCAUGUUGGUACUUGCUAUUUUGUGAUAGUCAAGGUGCAAAACAAAGCCUCAAACUGGUAGUACCACGAAGAUACCUCAAAAUCCAUUUCACAGCAUUCCAGUGCUCUCUACCUGGAUUAGACAGAAAUCUACUAAUUGUACCAACAACAUGUGCAAUAUCAGGCCUUGUACACACCAUUGCAUACAUUAAACUACCCACAGCAGAUGCAUAAGGAACUCGUUGCAUAUCUGAUUUUUCAGCUUCAUUGGUAGGACUCUGACUAGUACUCAAUUUAAAAUGAGUAGCAAGAGGAGUACUUACAGCCUUAGCAUUUUCCAUCUGGAACCUCUGUAACACUCAAUCAACAUAGUGUUCUUGUGACAGCCAAAGUUUCUUCUUGUUCCUGUCACGCAUGAUUCUUAUACCAAGAAUCUUCUUAGCAGCUCCUAAUUGCUUCUUCAACCUGUCAAUCAAGGAAAUAUUUCUCCCAACAAUAAGCAUGUCAUCAACAUACAAUAACAGGAUAAUGAAAUCCUCAUCAGCAAACUUUUUAACAAAGACACAGUGAUCAAAAGUAGUCUUCUUGUAGCCUUGCUCACACAAAAUUGACUCAAACUUCUUGUACCACUGACGCGGGGCCUGCUUCAAACCAUAUAGACUCUUUCUGAGCCUACACACAUAGUCUUCCUUGCCUUUAACAAGAAAACCAUCAGGUUGCUUCAUGUAAAUCUCUUCCUCCAAAUCACCAUGAAGGAAAGCAGUUUUUACAUCCAUUUGCUCUACCUCCAAAUCAAGAGUAGCAGCCAAACUCAACACAGUUCUAAUGGAUGACAUCUUCACCACAGGAGAAAAAAUCUCAUUGAAAUCAACACCCUUUCUCUGUCUGAAACCUCUCACAACUAAUCUGGCUUUAUAUCUUGGAGAUGUAGAAUUGCUUUCUUGCUUCACUCUGAAGAUCCACCUGUUUUCCAAAGCCUUCUUUCCCUUAGGUAGUUUCACCAAAUCAAAAGUGUGAUUAUCAUGCAAAGACUUCAUUUCAUCUUGCAUAGCAUCCAACCACUUCUUCUUUUCAUCACUCUCCAUGGCUUCAUCAUAACAUUCAGGUUCGCCUCCAUCAGUCAAGGUAACAUAGUCAUAAGAAGGAUACCUGGUGGAUGAUUUCCUCUGCCUAGUAGAGCUCCAAACUUGAGCUUGAGGUGGUUCAGGAGCAUCACCAAGAUCCUCAUCUUGUGACAUCUCAUGUUCUUCUUCAGCAUCAUCAUUAGGAACAUCAAAAUCAUCUCCAAGCUCCUGAUCACCAACAUCACCAUGUUGCUCAUCAUUCUGAACAUUAUUUUCAGCAGUAUCCAGAUCAUGUAUAGGCAUCCGAACUGGAUCAACAUCAGACAAACCAUUAUCAAUCUCAGGUGUAGUCUUCUCCAUCUUAUCAAUGUCUUCAAUGGUUUGGUCUUCCAUGAACUUCACAUCACGGCUUCUAACAGCUUUCUUCUCAACUGGAUCAAACAGCUUGUAGCCAAAUUCAUCCUGACCAUAACCGAUAAAGAUGCACUGUCUUGUCUUCGCAUCCAACUUGGAUCUCUCAUCCUUUGGAACAUGCACAUAUGCUUUGCAACCGAAGACACGCAAAUGAUCAUACCUGACAUUCUUGCCAAACCAAAUCUUGUCUGGCACCUCAGCAUUCAAAGCAACUGCAGGACUCAGAUUAAUAACAUGCACUGCCGUGUACAAUGCUUCACCCCAGAAAUGCUUAGGCAACUUUGCUUCAGAAAGCAUACACCUAACUCUUUCAAUCAAUGUCUUGUUCAUUCUCUCUGCUAAACCAUUCAGCUGAGGAGUUUUAGGAGGAGUCUUUUCAUGUCUGAUACCGUGCUGCUUGCAAUAAGAAUCAAAUGGUCCACAAUAUUCACCACCAUUGUCAGUACGAAUGCAUUUGAACUUCUUUCCUGACUGUCUCUCCACCAUAACAUGGAACUCUUUGAAUUUCUCCAGAACUUGGUCUUUUGUCUUCAAAGCAUAGACCCAAAGCUUCCUGGAACAAUCAUCAAUAAAAGUAACAAAGUAAAGUGCACCACUAAAUGACUUUACCUUCAACGGGACACAAACAUCAGAAUGCACCAAUUCAAGCAACUCUGACUUCCUUGAGGGAGCAUGUUUCUUGAAGGAUACUCUAGUCUGCUUACCAGCCAUGCAAUGAGAAUAUUUCUCCAACUCUGAACUCUUUAAUCCCGGAAGUAAAUCCUUUUUAGCUAAAAAAUUCAGCCCCUUUUCACUGAUAUGACUAAGCCUGCGGUGCCACAAAGAAGACUCCAUAUCCAUGGCAUUCACACUGUCUUUAGCAACCAAUGCUUUAGUCCAAUAUAGUUUAUUAAUUUUCUCCCCUCUGGCCACAACUAAGUUACCUCUGGUGAGUUUCUAUUUUCCUGAACCAAAGUGAUUAUCAUAACCACCAUCAUCAAGCAUCUGCACAGAGAUCAAAUUAAAGCGAACAUUUGGAGCAUGUUUGACUCCUCUAAGCAACAACUGCACUCCCAUGUUGGUCUGCAAACAAACAUCACCAAUACCAACUACCUUGGACACACCAUCAUUACCCAUCUUCAACACUCCAAAGUCACCAGAAGUGUAAGAUGUGAAGAACUCCUUCCUUGGUGUAACAUGCAGUGUAGCACCACUAUCAAUAAUCCACAUGCUCUCAUCUGAUACAAGAUUGACUGAGUCAUAGUCACGGAGAAUAAUCAGAUCAUCACAAGUAGCAGUAGUAACACGGUCAUCAUCAUCAUGAUUCUUAUCUCUCUACUUACUGUUAUUGUUUUUGCUCUCCCUUUUCCAUAUGAAGCACGGUCAUCAUCAUCAGAUCAUCACAAGUAGCAGUAGUAACACGGUCAUCAUCAUCAUCAUGAUUCUUAUCUCCCUGUUUGUUCCCUUUCGGCUCCUUUCUUUGACUUCGGCCCCUGUUCUCAGUGACAAGUACCUCGGAAUGAGAUGAAGUACCUUGUGCCUUCCUUCUCAUCUCCUCAUUAAGAACACUUCCUUUUACACUUUGCAAAGAGACAACACCAUCAGAAGCUGAGUUUGUAAUUGAAACCCGAAAAGUUUCCCAAGAAUCUGGUAGAGUAUUCAGUAGCCAUAGUCCCAACACUUCAUCAUCAAAUUUGAUACCCAUACCUGACAAUUGAUCUAGGAGCCCUUGAAAAUCAUUUAAGUGAUCUGAAAUAGAAGUCCCCUCCUUGUACCUCAAAUUCAUCAAGGAGUUCAACAAACACAACUUAUUAUUAUCUGAUUCAGAAGCAUACUAAGAUUCAAUCUUCUUCCACAAGGAUCUUGCAUGUUCCUUAUUAGCAAUGUGAUUAUAAACAUUAUCUUCUACAUAUUGCCGAAUAAAACCACAAACCUGCUGAUGUUCAAAACUCCAAUCCUCAUAAGUCUUGGAUUCUGGCUUCUCACUAGCAAACACAGGAAGAUGCAAAUUCUUCACAAAUAACAGAUCCUUCAUUUUUCCCUUCCAUAAGUGAUAAUUAGUGCCAUUCAAACAAAUCAUUCUAUUUGUAUUUGCCUCCAUCAUUCAAACAAGUCAAACAUCCCCUUAACCAAAGAGCUCUGAUGCCACUCUGAUGGGAAAUUCAGCAACAAAUAACAAUAACAUCUAACAGAGCAAUAUGCAGCGGAUAAUCAAUUUCCCACACUUGCAAGAAUCUGUGAGGAGCAACAACAAAUAAUCACAGCAACUAAAAUCACUACCACAAAUGACACAAUAAUUUCAGUGUGAGAAGUAAACAACCACGGGACCAAGCCAGUAAUAGAGCUCCACUAUGAUCAAAAUAUGGGUACAAGAGAGUUUCAAAUAUGCACAAAUUCGUGCUCAGUAACCAGACAAAAAUCAGCAAGGUAACCAGCACAACAAUCGGCCAAAACAUUGAGAAAACAAGCAUGAAAUUGAGAACAAAGUUCAACAGAAAAACUAGGAAAAACAGCUACUGUCCGAGCUCAAUAUCUCCCACCUCAGACCUCUGAUCGACGAUCCAACCGGUCAGAUUGAAGUACCAUGAGGCACGAAGCUGCGGUCCAAAUUUCAGCCCGAUCCGACGGUGAAAGAAAGAGAAAUCGCGAAUCUAGUGCAGCUGCUCUGUUUUAUGCGAAAAUGGGUUUUGCUCUUCCUCUCUCACUUUUCUCUUUGCCUCACUCUCUAAAUUCAGCUCUCUCUCCCACUAAUCUGACCUCUCUCCACUUGGUUAAGUGAGACACAUGGGGUUGCACAUAUUGGGCCUUUCUCCACAUAGGAAGGGAGCCCAAAACCCAACAAUACACUGAUCCAUUAAGUUGGACAAACUUAUUUUAAGUUCAAGAAGUUUACUAUCGAAAAGUUGUUAGAAGCUUUUCCUCAAGAUUUUAAGGAUAAAGAUCUUCUCAAAUUUAAGGAUAAGCUCGAGUUCAAAAUACUUUUGAGCGUGUUGAUGCAGUUUUACUUAUUCAUAUAUUUGUAAAAAUCUCUCAAAGUAUUUCCAUUGUGAAAAUCUUUCAAAACAUAAACUUUUAUAAAAAUCUCUCAAAGUAUUUUAAGUUCAAAGUAUUUGUAAAAAUCUUUCAAAACAUAAACUUUUAUUGUUUCUAGCAACCUUUAAAUACAAUAAAUUAAUAAUUUGAAAUUAAUAAAAAUAAAACUAUCCAUAUAUAAAUUUAUAACAACCCAUUAUUAAUUAGUAAUUUGUAACAAUCCAAAACCUCACAUAAUUACUAUAAUUAAAAAUCAUAACGAUAUAAUGAUCAAUAAUAUUAAUAGAUUUACCUGGAUCUCUUGAGAUGGUAACAAGCUGGCUCACUUAGCAGCAACUUUAGCUGAAUCUGUGGACAGUCUCCCCUCCAGAUGUGAUUCAAUUAAUAGAGCUGCUAAGGACAACAGCACGAGCAAUAAAUAGAUCUCAGAUCAGAAGGAUCUGCACCUGCUGUUGGUUUAUUCUCCACCUUGUCUGGUGCAUCUCAAAUCCCUCACUGGUUCUGGUUUCGGUGCCACCGUUGCUGGCCUUACGUAAAUAUUUUGUUUUGCUUUCCAGAGGUUGUUAUCUCGUUUGGUGUUUUGAGUGGUUGGUAUUGCAAAACUUUUCAUGAGUUUAAAGAAUCUCUUUGUCUCUACUUUACUGUCACCGUUUGAGCUGUUGAUGGGAUUACUUUAUGCAUGUGGAGCUUAUCAAAUUCAAUGCUUCCAUGUGUUUACAUUGUCUUUAUGAGUUUUAGUAUAUUAUUAUUAUGUUCGUGGUCCAACAUGACUACACGGUUUUUUUUACCCUUUAUGGGUGUUAGAUGUAGCACUU
Molecule: long non-coding RNA, 15244 nt
Filed under: Cicer arietinum (chickpea)
Lineage: Eukaryota; Viridiplantae; Streptophyta; Magnoliopsida; Fabales; Fabaceae
Description: long non-coding RNA (CARI_LNC002769)
Source: RNAcentral